GUUGUUUCUGUAAUGAACACAUUUUCUUCAGUGAGCGAGUAUACUUUAAUACACAUUAAAAAAAAAACACCAGUGUUUUUCCAUUGAGUACCUAUUAACUUACGAAGGUUAAUGAAAGUUCCAAAGGUAUUUUUGUAACAAGAGAAGAAUAAAAAUUGUUAAGUCCAACAACAGGGAGCUGGUUAAAUAAAUCAUGGAAUUUCCAUACAGUGAUAACUAUGUAACUAUAAAAAAGAAUGAGGCAUGUCUACAUGAACCAAUGUGGGAGAAUUCCAAGCUAUAUGGCUCCAUUAAAAAAAAAAAGAUGAACAAUGACUCUGGCAAACAGCUGGCACUAUUUACUGAGGCUGG
Molecule: non-coding RNA, 351 nt
Organism: Manis javanica (Malayan pangolin)
Lineage: Eukaryota; Metazoa; Chordata; Mammalia; Pholidota; Manidae
Source: RefSeq, a predicted model, not a curated record